RNAcentral lists this microRNA precursor (192 nucleotides) under Oryza brachyantha (malo sina). Its description in RNAcentral is "MIR812 microRNA precursor family". It matches the Rfam family "MIR812 microRNA precursor family". Lineage: Eukaryota; Viridiplantae; Streptophyta; Magnoliopsida; Poales; Poaceae. The record is from Rfam by way of RNAcentral.
AAUAAAUCAAUCUUUUGCUUUUUACCUAUAAUGUUUGACUCUUGUUCUUAUUUGAAAAAAUACGAUUAAUAUUUUUAUUUUUAUUAGAUGAUAAAUCGUGAAUAGUACUUUACGUGUGACUAAUUUUUUUAUAAUUUCUUAAAAAAUUUUCAAAUAAAACGGAUGGUCAAAUGUUGGACACGAAAACCAAAG